CUGGAUGUCCCAACACUCUGUGAAAGGAUUCUGAAGGGGCAGCACUGAAGCCCAAGAGAGGUCUCUCUGCAGUGAGAUCACUGGCCUUGUGACCAGCAGAUGUGGAGACUAUUUCUGGAGCGGGGUCCUCCUGGUGCUCGGCAGCAGCAUGACCCCACCAGAGCAGGAAUGGCCUUCUUGUCUUCUUUGGUGUCUUGGCCCUGAGCCUAGGCUUCCAGAUGGACUCCCCUGAGCCAUCUGAGAGAAGAAUGCCUUCUGCAAGCUGACUUUUUCUCUGAUGUUCUGACUGCUUCCAUGGAGCUGCUCCUAAGUACCCACCCACCAAGACUUCUGCCAGAGACUUCUCCCAGAGCCUCUGUCCAGCUCCAGCUGCACAGUCAUCCAAGAGACUGUCUACCCAAAGUACAAGGCAAAUCCACAGAUUUCCCCAAGGUCAUGGUUUGCCUCCCAGAGCAGAGAAUCGGGGCCAAGAUUUGGAAAAUGGCAGCCAGGCUUGGGGGCAGCAAUGGAUGUAAACAGAAGAGCUCUUGGAGUCGGAAAAGGAGCUGGGAGUAGGGGGUCUUUCUAGCCCUGAAGUCUGAGAAAACCCUUCUUGUUCCUUCUCUGAGCAGCAAGGGCAGUGUAUAAACCAGUCCUGAUCAGAAAAAUUGUUCAAAUUGCCCGUUGGCUCAGGGGAGCCAUGGAAGAGCACCAUGAAAGCCAAAGUCCAUCAGCCCCCAUCAUACCUAUUUGACACCCAGAUAAACAGAGGCCCACUGGAGCAAACGGAGCUGUCCCAGGUCCCACUGCUACAGAAGAGUGAAGCUGGAGCCAAAAGUCAGGGCUUGUGGCCCUGAACCAGACCAUUUUCCCUCUACAGAGAGCCAAGGCCCUCCCUGGAAAUUUGUUUACAGAUCCUUGGGCCACAGAAAAUUGACUUUAUCCAACUCUUUAGCUUGAGGUCACCUUCCACCAAGAAUUAAAGAUACAGGAUCCCACAAGUCUCCCUGAAUAGUCUGAGCUCCACUGGAGCCACCCUGAUUUUCCAUGUAUACUCUACUUACUUCCAGAGGGGACAUGAGGUGACUUACAAUAAAAUACAUGCAUAAUACUAUGCUUCUACUAAU
Long non-coding RNA from Bos indicus x Bos taurus (hybrid cattle), 1106 nucleotides. The record is from Ensembl. Lineage: Eukaryota; Metazoa; Chordata; Mammalia; Artiodactyla; Bovidae.